RNAcentral lists this transfer RNA (144 nucleotides) under Capronia epimyces CBS 606.96. It matches the Rfam family "tRNA". From Rfam's summary of the family: Transfer RNA (tRNA) molecules are approximately 80 nucleotides in length. Their secondary structure includes four short double-helical elements and three loops (D, anti-codon, and T loops). Lineage: Eukaryota; Fungi; Ascomycota; Eurotiomycetes; Chaetothyriales; Herpotrichiellaceae. The record is from Rfam by way of RNAcentral.
GGUCGCUUAGCUCAGUUGGUUAGAGCGUAAGUAAUCCAGCUCUCCAUCCAUGCGCCGUCAAUUAACUCGGAACAGGUGGUGCUAAUAUCAAACACAUCUGUGUCUGGGACGCCAAGGUCGCGAGUUCGACCCUCGUAGUGACCA